AUAAUGGGUCAGCGACUUAUAUUCUGUAGCAAGGUUAACCGAAUAGGGGAGCCGAAGGGAAACCGAGUCUUAACUGGGCGUUAAGUUGCAGGGUAUAGACCCGAAACCCGGUGAUCUAGCCAUGGGCAGGUUGAAGGUUGGGUAACACUAACUGGAGGACCGAACCGACUAAUGUUGAAAAAUUAGCGGAUGACUUGUGGCUGGGGGUGAAAGGCCAAUCAAACCGGGAGAUAGCUGGUUCUCCCCGAAAGCUAUUUAGGUAGCGCCUCGUGAAUUCAUCUCCGGGGGUAGAGCACUGUUUCGGCAAGGGGGUCAUCCCGACUUACCAACCCGAUGCAAACUGCGAAUACCGGAGAAUGUUAUCACGGGAGACACACGGCGGGUGCUAACGUCCGUCGUGAAGAGGGAAACAACCCAGACCGCCAGCUAAGGUCCCAAAGUCAUGGUUAAGUGGGAAACGAUGUGGGAAGGCCCAGACAGCCAGGAUGUUGGCUUAGAAGCAGCCAUCAUUUAAAGAAAGCGUAAUAGCUCACUGGUCGAGUCGGCCUGCGCGGAAGAUGUAACGGGGCUAAACCAUGCACCGAAGCUGCGGCAGCGACGCUGAUGCGUUGUUGGGUAGGGGAGCGUUCUGUAAGCCUGCGAAGGUGUGCUGUGAGGCAUGCUGGAGG
Molecule: ribosomal RNA, 668 nt
Filed under: Escherichia coli
Lineage: Bacteria; Pseudomonadati; Pseudomonadota; Gammaproteobacteria; Enterobacterales; Enterobacteriaceae
Description: partial 23S ribosomal RNA
Rfam family: Bacterial large subunit ribosomal RNA
Source: RNAcentral